RNAcentral lists this transfer RNA (89 nucleotides) under Clostridiales bacterium. Its description in RNAcentral is "tRNA-Ser". It matches the Rfam family "tRNA". Rfam says of the family: Transfer RNA (tRNA) molecules are approximately 80 nucleotides in length. Lineage: Bacteria; Bacillati; Bacillota; Clostridia; Eubacteriales. The record is from RNAcentral.
GGAGAGAUGUCCGAGUGGUUUAUGGAGCUGGUUUUGAAAACCAGUGAUGCUGAAAGGCACCGGGGGUUCGAAUCCCUCUCUCUCCGCCA